UACGCCCGGGAUAACAGGCUGAUCUCCCCCAAGAGCUCACAUCGACGGGGGGGUUUGGCACCUCGAUGUCGGCUCGUCACAUCCUGGGGCUGGAGACGGUCCCAAGGGUUGGGCUGUUCGCCCAUUAAAGUGGUACGCGAGCUGGGUUCAGAACGUCGCGAGACAGUUUGGUCCCUAUCUGCCGUGGGCGUUGGAAAUUUGAAGGGGGCUGCUCCUAGUACGAGAGGACCGGAGUGGACGAACCGCUAGUGUACCUGUUGUGUGGUCGCAUGCAUCGCAGGGUAGCUAUGUUCGGAAGUGAUAAGCCGCUGAACGCAUCUAAGCGCGAAGCACGCUCCAAGAUAAGUAUUCCCUAUGAGCCUCCUGGAAGACGACCAGGUUGAUAGGCGGCAGGUGUACGCAUGGUAACAUGUUUAGCCGAGCCGUACUAAUUAGGCCAUUGGCUUUG
RNAcentral lists this ribosomal RNA (448 nucleotides) under Thalassiosira rotula. RNAcentral describes it as "partial Bacterial large subunit ribosomal RNA". It matches the Rfam family "Bacterial large subunit ribosomal RNA", at positions 2464 to 2925 of the family's 2925-position model. The record is from RNAcentral. Lineage: Eukaryota; Bacillariophyta; Thalassiosirophyceae; Thalassiosirales; Thalassiosiraceae.